UUCGGCGGCGGCGGCAGCUCCCGCCGCUCAGAAGAAAGAGACUGGAGGCAGGCAGGGAGGAGGAAGGCGGCACCGGGGCGGUUACCUGAUCAGAGCCGCGACCCUCAUGCUGGGCGCAGUGCGCAUGCGUGCGGCGCUCGCGGGCCGCCGCCUCCGUGACGUGCGCAGGUCCUCGCCCGGGUGUUCGUUCCGCCGCCUGUCAGGCGACCGGUGCUGCGGCCCCUGCGGCCGCCCACGGGGCACCUGGACGCGGAGUACGCGCCACGUUGGUGCCUAGUCCCUGAGGCAGGGAUGUCCCGGCCCGGAAAAGAACGCUGUUUAGGCGCUGCCUAACCACCUAAGUGAGGGCACUGAAGCUGACUGGGGAAGGGCAGGGCCCGCGUCGCCGCGCUCGCGCUCGGAGCCCUGGAUUUGUUUGGGUUAGCAGAGAUUACAAAAGAGCCAAAACUGGUGAGGAUAGAGACCAAUGCUGGCAGGAAUACAGGGAAAGGGAAAAUCUCAUGCUCAGUUGCCGGAGAAAUAAGAAGAGGGAGGCAUAAAGAGGGUUAGAAACUUGCCCUAAUUCCGUUAGCUCAAAAGUGGAAGAGCUGGGAUUCAAAUCCAGAGAAGUGUCCACUUCAGACUCAUAUCAAAACCCUACCAGGGAGUGGCAAGUGAAAACACGCUCAGGGCUCCCACUGAUUCUGCAUUAUG
Mesoplodon densirostris (Blainville's beaked whale) is the source of this 693-nucleotide long non-coding RNA. RefSeq lists it as uncharacterized. NCBI's taxonomy places the organism in Eukaryota, Metazoa, Chordata, Mammalia, Artiodactyla, Ziphiidae. The record is from RefSeq and is a predicted model, not a curated record. The transcript has 4 exons.